AGAACGAACGCUGGCGGCAGGCUUAACACAUGCAAGUCGAGCGCCCAGCAAUGGGAGCGGCGGACGGGUGCGUAACACGUGGGAACAUGCCUUUCGGUACGGAACAACUGCGGGAAACUGCAGCUAAUGCCGUAUACGCCCUUACGGGGAAAGAUUUAUCGCCGAAAGAUUGGCCCGCGUCUGAUUAGCUAGUUGGUGAGGUAACGGCUCACCAAGGCUUCGAUCAGUAGCUGGUUUGAGAGAACGACCAGCCACACUGGGACUGAGACACGGCCCAGACUCCUACGGGAGGCAGCAGUGGGGAAUCUUGGACAAUGGAGGAAACUCUGAUCCAGCCAUGCCGCGUGAGUGAUGAAGGCCUUCGGGUUGUAAACCACUGUCGAGGGGGACGAGUAUUGACGGUACCCCUGGAGGAAGCCCCGGCUAACUACGUGCCAGCAGCCGC
This 445-nucleotide ribosomal RNA is filed under the name uncultured bacterium. Its description in RNAcentral is "SSU rRNA". It matches the Rfam family "Bacterial small subunit ribosomal RNA", at positions 26 to 518 of the family's 1533-position model. The record is from RNAcentral.